Molecule: long non-coding RNA, 487 nt
Organism: Odocoileus virginianus texanus
Lineage: Eukaryota; Metazoa; Chordata; Mammalia; Artiodactyla; Cervidae
Source: RefSeq, a predicted model, not a curated record
CUCCCAGGAAUCAGUACCUGCUUGCUGCUUUGAGAACCAGGAAAUGCUGCGAUUGGAGGUGCCAGUUCUUCAGAGCAGAAAGUUCUAGGAAUUUGAAAUUCUGAUUCCGCUCCUGAGUUCACACCCUGACUUCCUGACUAGGUAAUUCCUUAGAAGAUAACAUUCCUUUCACAGUCCUGUAAGGGGUCACCGAUGACCCACCACACAGCUUGAGAGCAGCUUACUGCUACAUGUUUGUUCCCAAGAGGUCAGUCCCCAAAAUGCCCCACCUGGACUGCAGGAGACGGGGUCAAAAGAUACUGCUGCCCCAGCUGCCAACUGGGGGUGACGUCAGCAGAGAAGCCGGGACGGCAGAGGGCUGCUGAGCUGACCUGCCGCCCCUUCCCUUGCAGACGCCGUGAAAGCAGCGUUGACAGCCUGAGACCUCCUGAUGUGCCGGUUCACCUUAAGCUUGUCUUAGUAGCUAUGAUUUUAGAUGGUCAGCUUU